Cordylochernes scorpioides is the source of this 10997-nucleotide non-coding RNA. NCBI's taxonomy places the organism in Eukaryota, Metazoa, Arthropoda, Arachnida, Pseudoscorpiones, Chernetidae. The record is from the annotation of a GenBank genome assembly.
CGUGGUAAUUUUGGAGAAUUUCUGUCGAAAAUCGGGGCAACGGAUGAUCCUAGCUGCUUCUGUGGAAAAGAAAACCAAGACUCAAUACAUUUAUUAUUAGAAUGUCCUAUAUUUCACAGCUACCGAAGUAAUCAUUUUUAUCCCAUUGAAGAAAUUUGCGAAUUUGUAUAUAACAAAGACACUUAUGUAAAAUUGAAUAAUUUUUGUAAGUUCAUUUUGGAUUUUCUCUUCUGUUUGAGAAAACCAUCGUUUUAGUUUUAAUUGUGUUUUUAGUCGGUUAUUGAGUUGUAUAUAAUGGAUUGUAUAUAGGUUGCUAAAAUAAUCCAUUUUAGAUUUUCUCUUCUGUUUUAGAAUACCAUCGUUUAAGUUUCAAUUAUGUUUUUAGUCCGGUUAUUAAAUUGUAUAAAAUGUAUUGUAUAUAAUCUACUAAAAUGUAUUUAGGCGCAAGUAUCUCGAGCUAGGCGUCCGAUAUGUCAUAUAAAAUAAAAAUGUAUAUUCGUUUUAAUCAAGCAAUAAAUUACUCUUCAUGUUUCACCUUUCCAUACCUCAUCCUCAAAGUUAGAAAUGUCGCUAUUUCUCUUUGAAAAUAAAUUUCGAUUUUUAUAAAAGAAACAUUCGCGGUAUAAUUUCAAUUUUCGUUUUACAAUCAUCAGCCGCGUUAUAUUGUAUUUUAAAUGUUACUUUAAAUAAAUUAAUGCAUUUAAAUUUUCUCUCAAGUAAAGUUAAUUACAGUUUAAUAUGGCGUUUCCUAUAGCUUUUUUUUAUAAAAAUAAAAUUAUAUUAUUUUUAAUUAUCUUACAAAUAAUAUAUGUUUUACUUUUUCAUUGAUUAUGUAAUAUAUUUCGACGCAGGACGUGUAUUAUAUUAUUAUUAUUAUUUUACACACACCACUUUGGAUGUUUGCGCAAUGAGAUAUCAAAGACCUGAAGGUAUAAUGUCUGUGAAAAAAAAAAGAACAUCAAUAAAAACCAUGAAGAACAAUGUUUUAUUUUAAGAACAAAGGAUGGCUUUUAAUUUUUAAAUAACAUUUUGUAUUUAGAUAUAUAAUCUUUUGCAUUUAAUCAUGCAUCUAACGCAUUUCUUCUUUUUUUUUUGCUUAUCCCUAGUACACGUGGUACAGGCCAUGAUAAUCAUGGUGGGUAGUUAGCGACUGCUUUUUUUUUUUUUUACUGUAAGCGCACCACAUGUCUACACAUGUGAAAGCAGAUCGACUUUGCACUUACAAAUGUGCCAGAGCCCCGUUUGGUUACUUGCACUCGCUGGUGGGGUUGGACUUUUGCAAGAAUCGGGGGGCCAUUGGAGCAUUUUUUUUUUUUUUUUAACAGAAAAAAGUGUCCAAUGCGGGAAUCGAACCCGGGUCGUAGUGGUCGUAAACCAAACGGUUUAACCAGCCUUCCUCCGACCCCCCACGCAUUUCUUACUUUUAUAACGUUUAUAUAUACGGAUAUAUACGUUUUUUUUUUUUUUUAAGAAAAAAAAACGCAUUUCUUACUUUUAUAAUGUGUUACGUAUAAAAAGCCAAUAAAUGUGGUAUAAGGGAAAAGGAUCCUGAGAAUCUUGUCGACUCUCUAUAUUAAAGUGCUUUGUCCUGAGAAUCCUCGGGAGUGGAUGGGGUUUUGUAUGUUUGGGCAGUCGUUAUCAAUGGCGGUGGAUGAAAAAAUCGGCACACUAUAUCGAUUAAUGAAUCACAAAACACCUCGGAAUAUUAAUCAUUGGCGGCUCGGGAGAGGAGAUGGAAGGAUUUUCGCGAUUAAAUUGGAUUGAGAUGACUCACAUCUUGGACCUCGAGGCACUACUUUUAGAAGAUGCACACACACGUCUUGACACACACGUUACCGACCGAACUCUGGUUGCCCCGCCCCCUGGCUUGGGUCAUGUGGGACCCUGCUUGACCUUUGAUUGGUCCCUGUCUCUGUCGGCCAUGAUGGUAAAUUUGGUCGGGAAGAAGCUUUGCCUAACAUCCCAAUCUCUCAGGACAUUCAACUCUGGAAUAUGAGGGCCUCUUUGUUCUAAGUGACCUAGAUACACGACUUGGAUCUGUCGUUCUUUUCUCUUCUACUUCUUCCAUCUCCUCUUCCUUUGACUGCCAUCUUUAUUUGAAUCCAUACAGAAUACAUUAUAUCCAACAUGGUACAUAAUUAUUUAUUAGACAAUAUUCUUUAUAAUAUUACAGAUGCGCCCCCUAUGAAUAAGAAUUUUAAAAGGGAUCUGUAUUAAAUUCUGAAAAAAGAAAAAUAAUUUUUUUGGGAAAGAAAAAAAAUUAAAAAAUUUUUUAAAAUAGUGAGUGGUUAGAUACAAUUGGGGAGAAAGUAAAUGAUGGAAAUAAGUAAUAAAAAGAAAUUUGAGUAGAUAGGGGUGCUUGCUAAACUAGGAAAAAAUAUGAUAAUUUUUGGGAGGAAAAAAAAAAAAAUCUUGCCUGCAUAGGUGUUCAAUCUUGCUGUGUGGAAACCCACAGCAAGGGAAACUCUAUGAGGUGCAAUCCAAACAAAACAUAUAAGACAUUAACAGAAAUAAAAAGAAAACUAUAGACAAUAAAUUUUGGUGAUGGAGGGAAAAAAAGAAAAAGAAAUCUGAUUAGCCUUUGGGGCGGUGAAAAAAUAUAAACAAAACAUAAAAAAAAGAAAUCAAAGCUCCUGUAUGAUAACUGAAGGCUGAUACAUGAGAAGUAUUGCGCCAGGUCAGUUGUUCAUUCAGUUAGGACAAAACAAGGUUUAAACAAUAAAAGGAAAAAAAAUAAACUUGAGGUGAUUAAGAAAUUGAAAGGGUGAUAGACAUGGAUGGUGGGAAUAAAAAAAAUAAAAAUAAAAAAAAUAAAAGUGCUGGUUGUGUACAAGUCCUUUAAAAUUGGUUAACAAAAAUAUACACAAAAGAAGAAUAUUUUUUUUUUUUACAUAACAAUGUCCAAUCUUUGUUUAUUAUAGGGUCGUAGGUCAUAAGGUUGCCAAAACUAUAUAGGUGGGUGAAUGUAUGCGAGUGUGUGUGAGUGUAUGUUCCAGAAAGUAACUUUAAGUGUGUUGACACGCGAAAAGUGACGGCGGGUUUGUUUACAUUCCGCAGGGAGGAUGUGACGUCGGUCACGUGAUCGGAAAGGACGUGACGUCGGCGCGGCGGAAGGUUUCUGUAAAGUGGACGCCAGCUGACAGCGGGGUGAUCGACGAGUGUGUGUAAAGGUGGGGAGAUUGCUAUUCGACUUGGCGCGCUCUAAAGAGGGUUUGGAAAAUCUCUCCUAUGAUUUCACCUAUUAGAGCGACCAAGGCAUGACUGUGGACAAGGAUGGUCCAUAACUCCGGGAGAAUUAUUCCUAUGGUUCGAUGGAUUAGUUCCACUACGGCGAUGGUUAUUUCGAAUAGGGCUUCCUGUAGUUGGAAGAGACGGUUGGGCUGCAGUGUAUAGACACUGACAUACAGUAGGGUGGCCAUGGGUAAUAGUACAGUGGGUAGGAUGAAAAGGUUGAUGAGGUAUAGGAGGUGGAACAAGGGGAAGGUUUUCACGUUACGCAAAAACCUUGUCUGUAAGGGAAUUGGUUUGGGAUCAGCCCUAACUGUAGGGAUUGGGGUUUUAACUUUGGUUAUAUGGGUUGGACGGGAUAUUGCAGGUUGGGGAAUAUCGCGUUGGGCGAUAAUGUUACAUUGUGGGUCAACAGGGGUGGUAGUGGUACAAUUGCCUAUUGUAGGAGCAAAGCGCUCAACUGUAAAGAGGUCUGGGGUGAGGUGCUCGAACAGUGGUGGUAGCGUCCUAGAUUGGGGUUUAGCAGGGUGUGGUAUCAGAGUGGGAGGUGCGAUAUAACGAAUAUUUUCGUUAUAGUACUGUAAUUUAUUUACAUGGACUGUGUCGGUAUUCCGAUUUAGAGGUUGGUUGGGUCGGUUUAUUCUCACCACGUUGGGAGAGAUGAUCUCUAAGAUCUCGUAGGGACCCGUGAAAUACGGAGCCAGUUUGCCUGUAUUGGGGUGAUGGUAAACUUUUACCAACACGAGAUCUCCGGGUUCAAAAUGGGGUGUCUUAUGUUGUUGGUCGUAGGCAUGUUUGUCUUUGAGGUGCUUGGCCUGGGUACGUUCAUGGGCUAUCCGUCGGGCUGUGGUUAAAACGGGGUAGGGGUUUACAUGCUCAGUGAGCUCGGGAGGUAGAACGCCGAACAUCAGGUAGCCAGGUGGGAACCCGGUAACUGAGUGGGGCGUGUUGUUAUACACCACAGUAACGCGCUUCGCCAGCUUAGUCCAUGCGGCUUUGGGGUUUUCCAAAUGGAGUAACCUUAGUUUGCCUGUUAAGGUAGCGUUCAGGCGCUCGCAUAGACCAUUAGCUUGGGGGUUGUUACUGGUGGUGAGCAGGGGAUGGAUGUUCCUGUUAAUCAGGAACUUCCUGAACUUUGAUGAGGUGAACGCAGGCGCUCUAUCCGUGAGUAGGCGUUUCGGAGAGCCGUCCUGCAACACUCGCUUUAUCACCUGUUGAUAGGUGGUGAGGCUGGUAGAUUUUGAGGGGAAGGUCCACGUGUAGCGCGAAAAGUGAUCCACCACAACGUGGAGGUAAGCUUUGGCGUUACCAUAUUUGGCAAGUCCAGCUAUGGUGUCGAGGGCGACCAGAUCAAAAGGCUGAGUGGCCACAGGAAGUUGUCCUAGUUCCCCAAACGUGGGACCUCGAGGGGGUUUUGUUGACUGACAGAUGGCGCAGGCUUUGGUGGUUUUGGAGAUGUCUUCUCACAUCCCCUUCCAGUAGUACUGGGUAGAGAUGAGCCUGGUCAUCUGGGAUAUGCCCGGGUGGUUGUACCGACUGUGCACCUUUGUUAGUAGGUCGGGAACGAGGGCGUCAGGGACGACAAUUUUGGUUACACCUCUACGCUUUAGGGUUUGCAGUCCGUUUCGAUCAAUGGUCAGUUUAGAUUCUCCCGAAGGAGUGAGUUGGUGGUUCUUAAUGAUGGUGGCGUCUAAGAAUCCACAAAACGGGUUACGGGAUAGGAGGUCCGCUUCAUGUUGUAGUGAUCCUUUUAUGUAGCGGACUUCGUAUUCGUAACACGAUAACCUCAAACUCCAUCGGAAUAAUCUGCCUGACGGGUUUUUGAUCGUCUUCAGCCACUGCAGUGCGUGAUGGUCAGAAAAUAUGGUGAAUUUUCUGCCCAUUAGAUACACACGGAACUUCUCCACGCUCUCGACAAUGGCGAGGCAUUCUAGUUCGGAGAUGGUGUAGUUCCGCUCGUGUACACGCAGAGCGCGGCUGAAAUAUUGGACUGGGUAGGCCUUCCCAGCGGAGUGGACUUGUUUGAGGACGCCUGCAAUGCCAAGUGUUGAUGCAUCGCAAUAUACCUGGCAUGGUAGUUCAUCCUUGUAGAGGUGCAAUACGGGGUGUUGUGUGAGGCUUUCCUUCAGGCUGGUGAACGCCUUUUGGCAUUUGUCAUCCCAGUCCCACGUCACAUCCUUCUUGAGAAGGUUGUUGAGUGGGGUCCGCAAACGGGCAUAGUCCGGGAUGAACUUAUUAUAGACGUUCACGGCGCCUAAGAAGGAUUGCAGCGUUUUGCGAUUGUUCGGGGGUGGGAUAGCGUGGAUUACGUCGGUAUUGCGGAUAAGUGGGGUGGUGGUACCAGCGGUGAUUGUGUACCCCAGAAAUUCGAUGGUCUGCCUAAAAAACUCGCAUUUGGUGAGGUUGAGUUGCAAGUUCUCCGCGUCGCAGAACGCGAAAAACCUGCGCAGGUGUUCUUGGUGUUCCUCCAGUGUCUCCGAAUAUAUGACAAAGUCGUCAAAAUAGUGCGCCACACAAUCAAGUCCGUGCCCCUGCAGGACCUGAUUGAUUGCCCUUUCAUAGAUCUGUGGACUGGUCUUAAGUCCGAAAGGCAAUCGGGUGGGCUGAUACAACCCGUCUAUCGUGGCGAAGGCCAACAGUGGUCGAGAAUCAGGGUGUAUCGGCACUUGCCAAUAUGCGGAGGAGACGUCGGCAGUCGAGAAAUACUUGGCCCGCGCGAGACGGUCCAGUAUAUCUUCGAUCCUCGGGAGUGGAUGGACAUCGGAGCUUAUGACCUCGUUCACCUUCCUAUAGUCGAUACAAAACCUUUUGGUCUUGUCUCGCUUGGUCACUAGGGUGACCGGGCUAGAGAAAGGGGAGUAGGACGGCUCAAUGAUGUCAUUAUCCAACAUCUGUCGGAUCUGACUGCGUAUUUCCCGUUGGUCGCAUAUCGGUACCCUAUAUGGGCGGAUGGUGACGACUUUGUCGGAGUUGGUGGCGAUUCUUACUGGGGGAACCUUUAGGCAUGGGACCGCGAAUUUGUUCCGGGAGAACACGUGUUGGUAUUGGCGCAAUAGCGCCGGGAAUUGAGGUGGAUACGGUGGCUGCGGUUGAUUGUCUAUGGGGAUCCCUGGGAGGUGUUCUGGUGAUGUUGGGUGGUGUGUGUGGUACAUGGAAUGGUGUGUGGAAUGGGGAUGUUUGGGUGUAUGGUGAAGGUGGUCCGUUUGGACCUUGGUGGGGUGUGAGAGGUUGGCAUUGGGUGGUUGUUCUGGUACCUUGACCCUAUAAUAAGAGCAGUUGGCUCUAAAAAAGUUCUUUGAUUGGACAUGGUGCGGUGGUUGGGUGAGUCCCUGGGUUGUGGACGUGUUGUCCGAAAAAGGCGCAUAUUGGGUAUUGUUGGCGGAAGGCGGAAAAAUAGUGUGGGCCUUGCAUAGGUCCGCCUGGCAUUCCCAAUAUGUGCACCUUUCGGGCAACACAGCAAAGUGGUAGGUCAGGGGCGACAAAGGUGCAUCGAGUUGGUACAUAGUGCCAUGUGCAAAAUCGAUUUUUAAUUUGAAUUUACGGAGGGUAUUAAUACCAAGUAUUCCAAAUGGUAGAGGGGCGUCCACCACGUGGAAUACUUCGUUUUGGGUUAUGGCAUGAAUGGAUAGGGGGAAGGUAAUCUGGCCUAUUGUUGGCACGUGGCCAUCUAUUGUCUGUAAAUUUAUUAUUUUUUUAGUUAUUAAAUUUAGGUCAGGGAAAUUAUUCUUUAAAUUUUUAUAUAUGGCACAUGACACUAGGUUAACGGACGCACCCGUGUCUAUCAGGAAUGGUAGGGACAGUCCAUGGGAGAUUGGCAAUCUAAUUGUCAGGUUGACGAAAGGCCUGGUCAGUAGGCCUACCUGCUGGCUGCUGGUCUGGGGCUCCCUUGGUUAUCCCAGUGGCUUGUGCGCGUGACGCUUGGUGAUGGGGCUGGGCUCGCGGCCGUUGUUCCGCUAGUUGCGCGGAGCGCGCUGCUCGUGCGUCUCCGGAGGCACGGGGCAACUGCGGGGCUUGUCUGAGACGACACUCAGAGUGCCAGUGUAGUCCACCACAAAAACGGCAGUCUGUUGGCGGGGUCGACCUGGUUGGCACUGUUCUUGGACUAGGUCGCACCGGUGCGUAGGGGCCCAGUAGGGGUGGUGCGUGCUCGUCUGGGUGCCUUGGAGAUGGUGCGCCGCUGCCGCGGAUCCGCUGCACCAGCCGGAACCAUGCACCUAGGUUCUCUGGCGGCACAAUGCGGACGAGGCGCUGGUCGGAGGGUGGCAGCCCCUCGGUGAGCGUCUCCAAGAUGACCUCUUGUGGGAGGCCCAGUUGUAGACCCAGCGCGGUCUUAUUCCGAUAGUAUUCUUCCAGGUUGGGCUGUCCGGCCAGCUUCAUGGAGAAGUAUUGGGCAUACGUGGCCUCAUUGGUCUCCGGAUAGAGAUCCAGGAAGGUCUGUCUCACCUGGAUGUAAUGUUGGGUCUCCAUCCGAAGCCUCCUGAAGUGUUCUAGCGGUUUGUUGUUCAGGUAACGGGGUAGGCGGAGCACUUUUUCCGUGUUGGUGAGACCAUCCCAGUCUGUUUUCUGGUCAUAUGUCCGAAAGAACUGUGCGGCUGGGUAGGUCCCGUCGAAGCUCUGGACUUCUAUCUCCGUCCGAUGGGUCACGCGGUCGCUGGUGGUCUGAAGGGCAGAUAAACACGCCGCGAGGCGUGCCAAGACGGCCGGCAACUCUGCCGACGGAGGGGGGGGUUCUAUUUUGGGAGAACUUACGGCGGGGUUGUUUUCUCCCUCUGCGGUGUAUUCCUCCGCGUCUUGCGUUUCGUUUUUCUCGUCCAUCCUGUCGACUCUCUGUGGUAUAAGGGAAAAGGAUCCUGAGAAUCUUGUCGACUCUCUAUAUUAAAGUGCUUUGUCCUGAGAAUCCUCGGGAGUGGAUGGGGUUUUGUAUGUUUGGGCAGUCGUUAUCAAUGGCGGUGGAUGAAAAAAUCGGCACACUAUAUCGAUUAAUGAAUCACAAAACACCUCGGAAUAUUAAUCAUUGGCGGCUCGGGAGAGGAGAUGGAAGGAUUUUCGCGAUUAAAUUGGAUUGAGAUGACUCACAUCUUGGACCUCGAGGCACUACUUUUAGAAGAUGCACACACACGUCUUGACACACACGUUACCGACCGAACUCUGGUUGCCCCGCCCCCUGGCUUGGGUCAUGUGGGACCCUGCUUGACCUUUGAUUGGUCCCUGUCUCUGUCGGCCAUGAUGGUAAAUUUGGUCGGGAAGAAGCUUUGCCUAACAUCCCAAUCUCUCAGGACAUUCAACUCUGGAAUAUGAGGGCCUCUUUGUUCUAAGUGACCUAGAUACACGACUUGGAUCUGUCGUUCUUUUCUCUUCUACUUCUUCCAUCUCCUCUUCCUUUGACUGCCAUCUUUAUUUGAAUCCAUACAGAAUACAUUAUAUCCAACAUGGUACAUAAUUAUUUAUUAGACAAUAUUCUUUAUAAUAUUACAUAAAUAUAUUUUAUAUCGAAAUGCUCCAAUUCCUCAAUCAAAAAUUAACAACAAGGGGCCUUUCAACAAAUGAAAAACAUCCACAAAGGUAUUGAAGGAAAUGAACGUAUUGACCAGGUUACCAAAAUGGCUGAUAAAUACGACAUCUCUCUAUAUUUUACAGAGCUUACAAAGAAAUUGGAGAAUAAAACGUAGUAUAUAUGUCGCAAAGUAUGUAUUAUUUUAUUAACAGAGUAGCAUUUUUGAUGUUUAUACUUUACUACUCUGUAAACUUCCCUCUUUGCUUAUCUUUUGUUUAUCACUCAUAAUUUGUUCUUACCUGAAAUAAAUUGCUGUCUCAUCCCGAAGUUGGUCUUCCCUAUUUUUUUCCACGUGGCAAUAUAAUUUGCCAACUAAGAGCCAAAAAGUACACCAAUGACCAGUCAAACCGAUAUCUGAGAAAAUGUUCACCCACUCCUGGCCAUCUUAAGAAGAACCUCAGGAAAAUACACACCUAGAAAUAUCAACCACAACUCUUUUAUCACGGAUGUGUUCAAGCCGAUAUGGCCACAAGAAAGAAAAAAAAGUCCUGAUACAGCCUGUCUACAAUGUCAAGAAGAAGAGCAAACCAUGUCCUCUAUAACUACCCAGCAGUCGAAUGGGCUAAUGUACGAGUGAAAUAUGUUUAAUUUUAAAAUAAUUGAGUAUAUAAAGAAACAAGGGUCGCCUCUCCCGUCAAAAUAAACGUUUAAAACCAGACGCCAUCUAUUUUGAAGGGAGAGGCAACCCUUGUUUCUUUAGAACAAUUUCCUCCCGACAAAAUUUCCAUCUAUAUUUUAGCCAUAGAUAUGACCCAGCCACUUUGCCAGCUAAACACCUCUUUGGCAGAUUUGUCAAGAUUCCAUUAGAUCCCGUGUGGAUCUUAUGGAAUAAAGUCCGCCCUAGACUGACGAGGGCCAUUAGCCCGAAACCAUGGUCUCUAGGUGGACGCUUUUCAGUUUGCCAAAGCUGGUGUUAUGGCUUUGUCACCGACCCGAGGCCGCUAGUUGCGGCGACGGUCAAUAGAUGGCGUCUGAUUUUAGACGUGUAUUUUGACGGGAGAGGCGACCCUUGUUUCUUUAAAUCAAUUUCCCCCCCGACAAAAUUUCCAUCUAUAAUUGAGUAUAUAUAUAUAAAUUAGCUAUACAUUGCGAGUAUGAGGUACAUAUAAAAUUCAGUCUAAAGUAUAUGAAAAUGGCUUAGGUACUUAAACAGUAAAUGCAAAUUAUAUAAAUAGUGAAAAUAGAGUAAAAAGGCAGUAAACACAAAAGGUAUGUGUGUAAAUUAAAAGUAUGUACGAUGUAUAUUCGCUUAGUACAAAACAUAUGAAGUCAUAAAUAUAUAUCCAAGUUAUCACAGAGUAAAUAUAUAGCGAAUGAUGUAAAUUACAUAUACUCCUAAAAUUAAUAAAUUAUUUAUUAUAAAUGCAUAUUACAGUGAGAUAAGUAUAAAAAAAACAAUACAGUAAGCACAAGGCUCAUAUACAGUGAGUUUAAAAUAUAAAUACGAUAAUAAAAAAAGAAAGAAUAUAUGAACAUACACAUAAAGUACACAGAGAAGAAUAUGCAAUAUGUACACACUCUUAAAAUUUAUAAAUUAUUUAUUGUUCUGAAAAUAGAGCUAUUCAUAUUUAAAUCUUUAUUAUCUAAAAAUUGAUUAUUAUAAGUUGCAUAUUACAGUGGUAUACGUAAAAAAAAACAUAAGUAUAUAUACAAUCAAUUGGCACAAUACGCGGGUAGAGAGAGAGAGUAAACCAAAUAUACAUAUUCAAUAUUCACAAAUUACAUAUAAGGUGAUUAUACACAGGUAAACAUAAAGACUAUAUUGCUGCAGGUUCGAUGCGAAAAGAUUUUUUCACUAUUUUUAAUUAUUAAUUUUGAUUUUAAUAAAUGUGUUUUUUGUUAAUUUAAAAAUAUUUUCAAAAUAUACAUUUUGAGUAACAUAUAGGUAACUUCCUGGAUCUUAUCCGUUGAUUAUAUUUUGACAUAGUUUAUUAAUAUUGUAUAUAUGUGAAAAAAAAAUAUGUAGAAAAUAUAUUGCCACGUGGAAAAUUAGGAAAGACCAACUUCGGGAUGAGACAACAAUUUAUUUAAGAAAAGAACAAACUAUGAGUGAUAAACAAAAGAUAAGCAAAGGAGGGAAAUGUACAGAGUAGCAAAAUAUAAACAUAAAAAAUAAUACUCUGCUAAUAAAAUAAUAAAUACUUUGUUACAAUAUAUAUUGAUAAAGACAGGCGCUCAGCAUGUCGUAAUAUAAAAAAAAAAAGAAUUAGAUUUU